This 429-nucleotide ribosomal RNA is filed under the name Actinomycetes bacterium. RNAcentral describes it as "Actinobacteria bacterium partial 16S ribosomal RNA". It matches the Rfam family "Bacterial small subunit ribosomal RNA", at positions 355 to 776 of the family's 1533-position model. The record is from RNAcentral. Lineage: Bacteria; Bacillati; Actinomycetota; Actinomycetes.
UAGGGAAUCUUCCGCAAUGGGCGAAAGCUUGACGGAGCAACGCCGCGUGAGUGAUGAAGGUCUUCGGAUCGUAAAACUCUGUUAUUAGGGAAGAACAAAUGUGUAAGUAACUAUGCACGUCUUGACGGUACCUAAUCAGAAAGCCACGGCUAACUACGUGCCAGCAGCCGCGGUAAUACGUAGGUGGCAAGCGUUAUCCGGAAUUAUUGGGCGUAAAGCGCGCGUAGGCGGUUUUUUAAGUCUGAUGUGAAAGCCCACGGCUCAACCGUGGAGGGUCAUUGGAAACUGGAAAACUUGAGUGCAGAAGAGGAUAGUGGAAUUCCCUGUGUAGCGGUGAAAUGCGCAGAGAUAUGGGGGAACACCAGUGGCGAAGGCGACUUUCUGGUCUGUAACUGACGCUGUUGUGCGAAAGCGUGGGGAUCAAACAGG